RNAcentral lists this microRNA precursor (124 nucleotides) under Hordeum vulgare. RNAcentral describes it as "microRNA MIR1122". It matches the Rfam family "MIR1120/MIR1122 microRNA precursor family". The record is from RNAcentral. Lineage: Eukaryota; Viridiplantae; Streptophyta; Magnoliopsida; Poales; Poaceae.
UUUAUACUCUCUUCGUUCGGAAAUACUUAUUGGAGGAAUGAUGUAUUUAGAUGUAUUUUAGUUUUACAUACAUCUAUUUUUAUUCAUUUCUUCGACAAGUAUUUUUGAACGGAGGGAGUAAAAG